RNAcentral lists this ribosomal RNA (229 nucleotides) under uncultured bacterium. RNAcentral describes it as "partial 16S ribosomal RNA". It matches the Rfam family "Bacterial small subunit ribosomal RNA", at positions 568 to 796 of the family's 1533-position model. The record is from RNAcentral.
UGCGUAGGCGGAAUAUUAAGUCAGUGGUGAAAUCCUGCGGCUCAACCGUAGAACUGCCAUUGAUACUGAUAUUCUUGAAUGUAGUUGAGGUAGGCGGAAUGUGUAAUGUAGCGGUGAAAUGCUUAGAUAUUACACAGAACACCGAUUGCGAAGGCAGCUUGCUAAACUAUGAUUGACGCUGAGGCACGAAAGCGUGGGGAGCGAACAGGAUUAGAUACCCUGGUAGUCC